UACGUAGGGUGCAAGCGUUGUCCGGAUUUACUGGGUGUAAAGGGAGCGCAGGCGGGUUAGCAAGUCGUUGGUGAAAUUCUGAGGCUCAACCUCAGAACUGCCAAUGAUACUGCUGAUCUUGAGUACAGAAGAGGAAGACGGAAUUCCUGGUGUAGCGGUGAAAUGCGUAGAUAUCAGGAAGAACACCGGUGGCGAAGGCGGUCUUCUGGUCUGUAACUGACGCUCAUGCUCGAAAGCGUGGGGAGCAAACAGG
Molecule: ribosomal RNA, 253 nt
Filed under: uncultured bacterium
Lineage: Bacteria
Description: partial 16S ribosomal RNA
Rfam family: Bacterial small subunit ribosomal RNA
Source: RNAcentral